Molecule: ribosomal RNA, 440 nt
Filed under: uncultured bacterium
Lineage: Bacteria
Description: partial 16S ribosomal RNA
Rfam family: Bacterial small subunit ribosomal RNA
Source: RNAcentral
CCUACGGGAGGCAGCAGUAGGGAAUAUUGCUCAAUGGGGGAAACCCUGAAGCAGCAACGCCGCGUGGAGGAUGACUGUUUUAGGAUUGUAAACUCCUUUUGUUAGAGAAGAUAAUGACGGUAUCUAACGAAUAAGCACCGGCUAACUCCGUGCCAGCAGCCGCGGUAAUACGGAGGUUGCAAGCGUUACUCGGAAUCACUGGGCGUAAAGCGCGCGUAGGCGGGUUAGCAAGUCAGAUGUGAAAUCCUAUGGCUUAACCAUAGAAUUGCAUUUGAAACUGUUAGUCUCGAGUAUGGCAGAGGUAGGUGGAAUUCUUGGUGUAGGGGUAAAAUCCGUAGAGAUCAAGAGGAAUACUCAUUGCGAAGGCGACCUGCUAGAACAUAACUGACGCUGAUGCGCGAAAGCGUGGGGAGCAAACAGGAUUAGAUACCCGUGUAGUC